CAGUCGCCACGGGAAUACGGAGGGUGCAAGCGUUAAUCGGAAUUACUGGGCGUAAAGCGCACGCAGGCGGUUUGUUAAGUCAGAUGUGAAAUCCCCGGGCUCAACCUGGGAACUGCAUUUGAAACUGGCAAGCUAGAGUCUCGUAGAGGGGGGUAGAAUUCCAGGUGUAGCGGUGAAAUGCGUAGAGAUCUGGAGGAAUACCGGUGGCGAAGGCGGCCCCCUGGACGAAGACUGACGCUCAGGUGCGAAAGCGUGGGGAGCAAACAGGAUUAGAUACCCGAGUAGUCCCUGUCUCUUAUAC
This 301-nucleotide ribosomal RNA is filed under the name uncultured bacterium. RNAcentral's name for it is "partial 16S ribosomal RNA". It matches the Rfam family "Bacterial small subunit ribosomal RNA", at positions 509 to 807 of the family's 1533-position model. The record is from RNAcentral.